GUGCUCACUGAGGCAGUACAUAUACUAAAAUUGGGAUGAUGCUUUGGAGGGUAGCUUGGCCCCUGCACAAGGGUGACACACAAAUUCAUGAAGAGUUCCAUAUUUUA
This is a small nuclear RNA of Pteronotus mesoamericanus, 107 nucleotides long. The record is from RefSeq and is a predicted model, not a curated record. Lineage: Eukaryota; Metazoa; Chordata; Mammalia; Chiroptera; Mormoopidae.